Molecule: ribosomal RNA, 306 nt
Filed under: Paraphotina occidentalis
Lineage: Eukaryota; Metazoa; Arthropoda; Insecta; Mantodea; Mantidae
Description: partial 12S ribosomal RNA
Source: RNAcentral
AGUAUAGUUAUGGUCUCUUGAAACUUAAAGGAUUUGGCGGUAUUAUAGUCUAUUUAGAGGAAUCUGUUAUGUAAUCCAUAAUCCACGUUGGACCUUACUUAUAUUAAAUUCUUGUAUAUCGCUGUUUAUGAAUAUACCAGAAGGUAUUUAUUUUUAAAAUAUUUAAGUUAUUAAUAUUUCAAAGUCAAGGUGCAGUAAAUUUAUGAGUUGAAUAAUGGAUUACAAUAAAGUUAUUUAUAACGGAAAACUUUAAGGAGAAAAAAACCAAAGGAGUUUAAAGGUGAAUUUAAUAGUAAUUUUUUUGAA